RNAcentral lists this ribosomal RNA (253 nucleotides) under uncultured bacterium. RNAcentral's name for it is "partial 16S ribosomal RNA". It matches the Rfam family "Bacterial small subunit ribosomal RNA", at positions 524 to 776 of the family's 1533-position model. The record is from RNAcentral.
CACGUAGGGGGCAAGCGUUGUCCGGAUUUAUUGGGCGUAAAGAGCUCGUAGGUGGCUGAGUAAGUCGGAUGUUAAAUCCCCAGGCUCAACCUGGGACACCACCCGAUACUGCACUGGCUAGAGUCCGGUAGGGGAGCAUGGAAUUCCUGGUGUAGCGGUGAAAUGCGCAGAUAUCAGGAGGAACACCAGCGGCGAAGGCGGUGCUCUGGGCCGGAACUGACACUGAGGAGCGAAAGCGUGGGUAGCAAACAGG